CAGCAGGUAGUUUAUAUUAAAAUUUUAAUUUUGGAUAUUAAAGAAAUUUAUUUUCUGCUGA
Molecule: transfer RNA, 61 nt
Filed under: Bambusiphaga maculata
Lineage: Eukaryota; Metazoa; Arthropoda; Insecta; Hemiptera; Delphacidae
Description: tRNA-Pro
Source: RNAcentral